Molecule: ribosomal RNA, 253 nt
Filed under: uncultured bacterium
Lineage: Bacteria
Description: partial 16S ribosomal RNA
Rfam family: Bacterial small subunit ribosomal RNA
Source: RNAcentral
UACGAAGGGGGCUAGCGUUGUUCGGAUUUACUGGGCGUAAAGCGCACGUAGGCGGAUCGUUAAGUCGGGGGUGAAAUCCUGGAGCUCAACUCCAGAACUGCCUUCGAUACUGGCGAUCUUGAGUCCGGAAGAGGUGAGUGGAACUCCUAGUGUAGAGGUGGAAUUCGUAGAUAUUAGGAAGAACACCAGUGGCGAAGGCGGCUCACUGGUCCGGUACUGACGCUGAGGUGAGAAAGCGUGGGGAGCAAACAGG